GACCUAGGUCUUUCUUCCUCUUCCUUUUUCUUGCUCGAGCUUCCCCUUUCUCUUUCCUCCUGCUUCUCUUCUUGGUAUAAUCUCACCCCCCAUCUCCUACUGAAAUUUUUUCGACCACACAAUUCACGAAUGAAGGGAGGUUGGAUCUAAGCUCUCGAGGUUAAUGCGGUGAAAGCAACGGAGUUUCAAGUUGCUUCAAGUUCAGUAGGAUAAAUUACGCGAAUAAACCUCGCUCUCCCCAAGCCAAGACAUUAGUUUGGGGAUAUGGAUACAAAAGCGCCACCAAUCACAAGUUUAAGCUUGGCUGCUUCUGUGCCAUCUACAACAAGCGCUGCUUCUCACAGGCUUUCUGUUUCUAGAGUUUAUAUGAGGUCUUGUUUCUUUGGCAACAAUGUGUAGAUACAUAAUGCAUUGUUUAUAGUUGGAGCAUUGAGAUUGAGUGGAGUUCGGUCCAUGUUGUGAUUGUAUUGGUAAUGUCAGAUAAGGUGUUUGGGCCGAAUGCGACAACGGAGGAGGUUUACGAUAUAGCUGUUCGGCCUAUUGUGAAAUAUUUAAUGGAUGGUGUUAACGGAACGGGGUUUGCUUAUGGUGUCACCAGUAGUCGAAAGGCGCACACAAUGCAUGUCCACUGCAAGUUUAUGGGUAAUGGUGGUGGUGAUAUAGAUCCAAAAGAUAUAGAGUAUGCCAAGAUGUGUUGAUUUGUAGUUGCAUAUGGUAUCUUCGAUGGAUACAAUACACCAUAUCAGCUUAAUAAUAUUAGUGCUCGGUCACAAAAGUUCUUUUGUUUUCUUAUGGUGGUUGAUGAGAAUCUUUUUUCAUCAAGAAAAACGUUUCUGUAAGAGUGGAAACUGAUGGGGGUCAUUGAGUGGGGGUUUGACAUCUUAUUAUUCUGAAGCAUCAACCAUAUGAUGAACCCGGAAGAAAUGGAAAGGUUCCAAAGAUAUUAGUAAACAUGAUUUUUCUAGAAGCGUUGUACAACAUCUGGAUUGAUGGUAAAGUGGAGCUAAUACUUGAUCCGUUACUUAUGGUAGAGAGGUCAGUUGGUUUACCUUUGACCCCAAGCUUCAUAUUGAAAGGGAGCAGUUGAUUAAAAGGGAACAGUGAUGUUAUCUGACAUGUACGACAAAAAUCACACACCCGCUGAUUAAUGAAAACUUGCAUGGAGCUCUAACAUAUGGCGGGUGAGUUGAAGCUAGAGAACCUAGACACUGCCCUUCUAUUGAAGAUAAGGAGUGCGCGAGUUUGCAAGAGUAAUGUAUAUGGCAAGGUGGAUUGGCGGACAUCGUAGUCUGAAAUAUGUCUAUAUUUCUACCUUUCUUAGGGGGAGGGGGCUUUGCUAAUUUUCAUAUUAUAUUCAGGUAUCUGGCUUGUCCUAACAAAAUGCAAUGAAGUACUCAACUACUCCAUCCAACGAUCCUGACACACAUGAGGAUUUCAGGCGAAACCAGUAAGGCUAAGAGUGAUCUUUCUGUCAAAGAUAUUGUUGAGCUGGUGAUGUUUUUUCUUUAUCCAUGGUUCUUUAUAUAAUGACUUUGUCGCAUAUGCCCUUCUCUUUAGCUCGGGAUUGUAUCUUUUUGCUUAUGAAUCUUAUGGUGAAUGCAGCUUCAAUCUUGGUAUCUUCCAAACGUGAAGGAAAAUCCGGUUAUGAUGUAUAUAAAGGGGAUUCCCGAAAUGCCUAGAUGCGGUUUCAGCUCUCUUGCAGUGAGGGUACUGAAAGUAUAGCGCCGAUAGUGAAAUUUCCUUAAUAUCCUAAUCAUGUUGCAUCCUCCAUAUCAAGCAGAAUCAUGGUGGAAGUUAAAAGUUGAAGUUAUUUUGUUGUUAAAAUCUCUCCUCUCUGUAAUGUUUCGAUUUGUUUAGGUUGAAAUGAGUUUGUCUAAAUAGGUUGUGGUUUUCAAGAUUUGUUGAAUUAUUGUAUGUAUAUAAUUUAUUGAUUAUGGUUAGUGUUAAGAGUGAUACUUGUAUAGUUGUA
Molecule: long non-coding RNA, 1969 nt
Organism: Spinacia oleracea (spinach)
Lineage: Eukaryota; Viridiplantae; Streptophyta; Magnoliopsida; Caryophyllales; Amaranthaceae
Exons: 10
Source: RefSeq, a predicted model, not a curated record